AUUGAACGCUGGCGGCAGGCCUAACACAUGCAAGUCGAGCGAGCGGCGGACGGGUGAGUAAUGUCUGGGAAACUGCCUGAUGGAGGGGGAUAACUACUGGAAACGGUAGAUAAUACCGCAUACCAUCAGAUGUGCCUAGAUGGGAUUAGCUAGGAGGUGGGGUAACGGCUCACCUAGGCGACGAUCCCUAGCUGGUCUGAGAGGAUGACCGGCCAAACGGGACAUAAGCCACGGGCCGAACCCCUACGUGAGGCUGCAGUGGGGAAUAUUGCAGAAUGGGCACAAGCCUGAUGCAGCCAUGCCGCUUGUAUGAAGAAGGCCUUCGGGUUGUAAAGUACUUUCAGCGGGGAGGCGUUACCCGCAGAAGAAGCACCGGCUAACUCCGUGCCAGGAGCCGCGGUAAUUC
This 406-nucleotide ribosomal RNA is filed under the name uncultured bacterium. Its description in RNAcentral is "partial 16S ribosomal RNA". It matches the Rfam family "Bacterial small subunit ribosomal RNA", at positions 30 to 526 of the family's 1533-position model. The record is from RNAcentral.